Molecule: non-coding RNA, 850 nt
Organism: Nicotiana tabacum (common tobacco)
Lineage: Eukaryota; Viridiplantae; Streptophyta; Magnoliopsida; Solanales; Solanaceae
Source: RefSeq, a predicted model, not a curated record
GCCUAUAAAAGGCAGACUUUAUUGCCUUGUUGGAGGAGGUUGGAACCCCAAAAAUUUCCCCCAAAACCCUCUCUGCAGAUCUGAGCCUAAAAUUUGAAUUUCGAAUCAAUGGAAGUUCAAAAAUCCUCCUCUAGAUUUUAGUUUCGAAAAAUCCAGUAGAAAAUCCAAAAAAAAACGAUAGAAAACUCGAAAAACAAUUGUUACAUUGCUUUUCCUUAGGCUAUUUUGAACUCCAGCACUUAAUUCAAGUUUCUAGCUCAAUUAGGAUCCAAAACUGUUUGAAUUCCUUUGUUUCUAUUUGGUAUUUGAGGUCUGAAGGUAAUUUGGGUCAGCUAGGCAUUGAUUCUGAUUAAAUCGAAUUGACUAUGGUGAUCUGUUAAGUGUGUGGAUAUGCUGGGUUCAUUUUCUGGUUGUUUGAUAUAGUUUUGGGUUAAUUUGUUGAUUCUGCUUGGUCUUCAAUUCAUUUUUGAACUGCUGAAUCCUUUCUGGGCUAUUGUACUCGCUCGUUGACUGCUGUCGGGUUAUCAUUGGUUCCUUGGAACUGUUGCUGCUGCUGAUUUCUCUUUUUUCUACUUGAUUCACACUUCAGGCUAUUGAAAAAAGUCGAGACCCAACACCAAGUGAGAUACAUUUGCACGUCCAUACACAUGGGCAUGAUGAAAAAUCUUUUCUUGAUGAGAAAGCUCGAAUCGUGCAUGAAAGGUAUCAGGAAAUAUUGCAGGAACAAACACAAACUCAAUCUGAUAUUGAUCAAUGUAAAGCAUUGGAUCUCAAGCAAAAUGCUACUAUGGAUCGAAUCUUGAACUUUAGUGUUGGUGUUAGGAAUAAUUCGAACUUAAUUGUAUUAGCU